AAUAUUUCGCAAUGGAGGAAACGCCGCCGCAGCGACGCCGCGUGAGCGAUGAAGGUCUUCGGAUCGUAAUGCCCUGUCCUUUGGGAAGAAGGUCUCCGGACAUGACGGUACGCAUGUAGGAAGCCCUGCGGAACUACUUUCCAGUAGCCACGGUAAUACGUAGGGGGCAAGCGUUAUCCGGAAUUAUUGGGCGUAAAGGGUGCGUAGUCGGCAUUUUAAGUCAGAUGUGAAAGCCCACGGCUCAACCGUGGGAUUGCAUUUGAAACUGGAGGGCUUGAGUAUCGGAGAGGGUAGUGGAAUUCCCAGUGUAGCGGUGAAAUUCGUAGAUAUUCGGAGGAACACCAGUGGCGAAGGCGGCUCACUGGCUCGGUACUGACGCUGAGGUGCGAAAGCGUGGGGAGCAAAC
RNAcentral lists this ribosomal RNA (406 nucleotides) under uncultured bacterium. Its description in RNAcentral is "partial 16S ribosomal RNA". It matches the Rfam family "Bacterial small subunit ribosomal RNA", at positions 360 to 773 of the family's 1533-position model. The record is from RNAcentral.